This 272-nucleotide unclassified non-coding RNA is filed under the name Hevea brasiliensis (rubber tree). The record is from RNAcentral. Lineage: Eukaryota; Viridiplantae; Streptophyta; Magnoliopsida; Malpighiales; Euphorbiaceae.
GCCAAAGAAAUCAAGAAGCAAGCAAGAGAAAGAAGAGGAAGAGGAAAUUUUAGUGGUGGAUGGGAUAGAGCUUGAUAGAGAUGCAGUGGUGAAGUUUGAUGUGUAUGUUAAUGAUGAGGAUGAUUUGCAGAGUGGACCUGACAAUUCUGAGUUUGCAGGAAGCUUUGUGAAUGUGCCUCAUGUACAUAAACAUGGGAAGAAAAUGAAGACAUGUUUGAGAUUAGGGAUUACAGAUUUGUUGGAGGAUUUGGGUGCUGAAGAUGAUGAUAGCG